AGAGAACUCUGCACCAGCUAUCCCGCGUGCGGGAUGAAGGCCUUCGGGUUGUAAACCGCUUUCAGCAGGAAAUAAGCGAAAUGAAGGUACCUGCAGAAGAAGCACCGGCUAACUAUGUGCCAGCAGCCGCGGUAAUACAUAGGGUGCAAGCGUUGUCCGGAAUUAUUGGGCGUAAAGAGCUCGUAGGUGGUUUGUUACGUCGGAUGUGAAAUGCAGGGGCUCAACCCCUGACUUGCAUCCGAUACGGGCAAGCUAGAGUUUGGUAGGGGAGACUGGAAUUCCUGGUGUAGCGGUGGAAUGCGCAGAUAUCAGGAGGAACACCGAUGGCGAAGGCAGGUCUCUGGGCCAAUACUGACACUGAGGAGCGAAAGCGUGGGGAGCGAACAGGAUUAGAUACCCUGGUAGUCCACGCCGUAAACGGUGGGCGCUAGUUGUGCGAACCUUCCACGGUUUGUGCGACGCAGCUAACGCAUUAAGCGCCCCGCCUGGGGAGUACGAUCGCAAGAUUAAAACUCAAAGGAAUUGACGGGGCCCCGCACAAGCAGCGGAGCAUGCGGCUUAAUUCGACGCAACGCGAAGAACCUUACCAAGGCUUGACCUAUACAGGAAUACGUCCAGAGAUGUCGUAGCCCGC
RNAcentral lists this ribosomal RNA (634 nucleotides) under uncultured bacterium. RNAcentral describes it as "bacterial SSU rRNA". It matches the Rfam family "Bacterial small subunit ribosomal RNA", at positions 375 to 1019 of the family's 1533-position model. The record is from RNAcentral.